UGGGGAAUAUUGCACAAUGGGCGCAAGCCUGAUGCAGCCAUGCCGCGUGUAUGAAGAAGGCCUUCGGGUUGUAAAGUACUUUCAGCGAGGAGGAAGGCGUUGUGGUUAAUAACCGCAGCGAUUGACGUUACUCGCAGAAGAAGCACCGGCUAACUCCGUGCCAGCAGCCGCGGUAAUACGGAGGGUGGAAGCGUUGAUCGGAAGUACUGGGUGUAAAGCGCACGCAGGCGGUCUGGCAAGUCGGAGGUGAAAUCCCCGGGCUCAACCUGGGAACUGCAUCCGAAACUGGCAGGCUAGAGUCUUGUAGAGGGGGGUAGAAUUCCAGGUGUAGCGGUGAAAUGCGUAGAGAUCUGGAGGAAUACCGGUGGCGAAGGCGGCCCCCUGGACAAAGACUGACGCUCAGGUGCGAAAGCGUGGGGAGCAAACA
Molecule: ribosomal RNA, 427 nt
Filed under: uncultured bacterium
Lineage: Bacteria
Description: partial 16S ribosomal RNA
Rfam family: Bacterial small subunit ribosomal RNA
Source: RNAcentral